Molecule: ribosomal RNA, 391 nt
Filed under: Salmonella enterica subsp. enterica serovar Typhimurium var. 5-
Lineage: Bacteria; Pseudomonadati; Pseudomonadota; Gammaproteobacteria; Enterobacterales; Enterobacteriaceae
Description: bacterial LSU rRNA
Rfam family: Bacterial large subunit ribosomal RNA
Source: RNAcentral
UGCUGGAGGUAUCAGAAGUGCGAAUGCUGACAUAAGUAACGAUAAAGCGGGUGAAAAGCCCGCUCGCCGGAAGACCAAGGGUUCCUGUCCAACGUUAAUCGGGGCAGGGUGAGUCGACCCCUAAGGCGAGGCCGAAAGGCGUAGUCGAUGGGAAACGGGUUAAUAUUCCCGUACUUGGUGUUACUGCGAAGGGGGGACGGAGAAGGCUAUGUUGGCCGGGCGACGGUUGUCCCGGUUUAAGCGUGUAGGUGUGUGUUCCAGGUAAAUCCGGUUCACUUUAACACUGAGGCGUGACGACGAGGCACUACGGUGCUGAAGCAACAAAUGCCCUGCUUCCAGGAAAAGCCUCUAAGCAUCAGGUAACAUCAAAUCGUACCCCAAACCGACACAG